RNAcentral lists this ribosomal RNA (497 nucleotides) under uncultured bacterium. RNAcentral describes it as "partial 16S ribosomal RNA". It matches the Rfam family "Bacterial small subunit ribosomal RNA", at positions 28 to 507 of the family's 1533-position model. The record is from RNAcentral.
GAUGAACGCUGGCGGCGUGCCUAAUACAUGCAAGUCGAGCGAACAGAUAAGGAGCUUGCUCCUUUGACGUUAGCGGCGGACGGGUGAGUAACACGUGGGUAACCUACCUAUAAGACUGGGAUAACUUCGGGAAACCGGAGCUAAUACCGGAUAACAUUUGGAACCGCAUGGUUCUAAAGUGAAAGAUGGUUUUGCUAUCACUUAUAGAUGGACCCGCGCCGUAUUAGCUAGUUGGUAAGGUAACGGCUUACCAAGGCAACGAUACGUAGCCGACCUGAGAGGAUGAUCGGCCACACUGGAACUGAGACACGGUCCAGACUCCUACGGGAGGCAGCAGUAGGGAAUCUUCCGCAAUGGGCGAAAGCCUGACGGAGCAACGCCGCGUGAGUGAUGAAGGGUUUCGGCUCGUAAAACUCUGUGAUUAGGGAAGAACAAAUGUGUAAGUAACUGUGCACGUCUUGACGGUACCUAAUCAGAAAGCCACGGCUAACUACGUG